Molecule: ribosomal RNA, 471 nt
Filed under: uncultured bacterium
Lineage: Bacteria
Description: SSU rRNA
Rfam family: Bacterial small subunit ribosomal RNA
Source: RNAcentral
AGGAUAAACGCUGGCGGCGUGCCUAACACAUGCAAGUCGAACGUCUCUUCUUUCGGGAAGAGGAGUGGCGGACGGGUGAGGAACACGUGGGAACCUGCCCUUUAGUGAGGAAUACCGGCGAGAAAUCGCCGACAAGACCGCAUAGCCCUCUUUGAUGAGAGUCAAAGAAGGAAAGCUUCGCAAGAGGCGCUAGAGGAGGGGCCUGCGUCCGAUUAGCUAGUUGGUGGGGUAAGAGCCUACCAAGGCGUCGAUCGGUAGCUGGUCUGAGAGGACGAUCAGCCACACUGGGAUUGAGAACGGCCCAGACUCCUACGGGGGGCAGCAGUGAGGAAUUUUCGGCAAUGGGGGAAACCCUGACCGAGCAACGCCGCGUGCAGGAAGACGGCCUUCGGGUUGUAAACUGCUUUUCUUUGGGACGAGAACGGACGGUACCCGAGGAAUCAGCCCGGCUAACUACGUGCCAGCAGCCGC